Lucilia cuprina (Australian sheep blowfly) is the source of this 466-nucleotide long non-coding RNA. RefSeq lists it as uncharacterized. The record is from RefSeq and is a predicted model, not a curated record. The transcript is spliced from 3 exons. Lineage: Eukaryota; Metazoa; Arthropoda; Insecta; Diptera; Calliphoridae.
UUCUUUUUCCUAUUCUGGUUUCAGGAGAUGCAGAGUACUAACAAAUAACAAAACAACAAAAGGAUGGAUAAGAACUAACUGUCUUUCUACAGUACGUACUAAUGAGGUGCAACUUGACCAGGGUUACGUUCUCCUAAUAUUCAAGGACUACCUUCCCAGACCUCCUGUAGAACUAAAACGUUCGCAAUAGACUGGACUAAUUUUCCAAGGAUCAACGGUUCUUGACGACAGGUGGUGAAUGUACAGGUUUUCUGUCCGUCCGUAUUAGUUUGUUCGGGUAUUUCAGAAUUUAUCUAAAAGGACUGGUUCGGUUCGUCCUGUCGUUCGGGUAAGAGUUACACUUCUAUGUCGAAAACCUUAAUACCUGGAUACCACAGGACUGUUGGUGCGGAUCUGCUAAAGUAGUCCCACGCUGGAUGGAGCUGGCGAUGGCGUGGCUCAGAGUUGGCUGAUCUAAUUUUAUGUU